GACGAACGCUGGCGGCGUGCCUAAUACAUGCAAGUUGAGCGCUGAAGGUUGGUACUUGUACCAACUGGAUGAGCAGCGAACGGGUGAGUAACGCGUGGGGAAUCUGCCUUUGAGCGGGGGACAACAUUUGGAAACGAAUGCUAAUACCGCAUAAAAACUUUAAACACAAGUUUUAAGUUUGAAAGAUGCAAUUGCAUCACUCAAAGAUGAUCCCGCGUUGUAUUAGCUAGUUGGUGAGGUAAAGGCUCACUAAGGCGAUGAUACAUAGCCGACCUGAGAGGGUGAUCGGCCACAGUGGGACUGAGACACGGCCCAAACUCCUACGGGAGGCAGCAGUAGGGAAUCUUCGGCAAUGGACGAAAGUCUGAACGAGCAACGCCGCGUGAGUGAAGAAGGUUUUCGGAUCGUAAAACUCUGUUGGUAGAGAAGAACGUUGGUGAGAGUGGAAAGCUCAUCAAGUGACGGUAACUACCCAGAAAGGGACGGCUAACUACGUG
RNAcentral lists this ribosomal RNA (497 nucleotides) under uncultured bacterium. Its description in RNAcentral is "partial 16S ribosomal RNA". It matches the Rfam family "Bacterial small subunit ribosomal RNA", at positions 28 to 507 of the family's 1533-position model. The record is from RNAcentral.